AGAAACAAUGCUAGAGCAAAUGAGAGGAAUAAGCGCAAUGAUAGGCCCCGCAAUACUGAUAGGUCAAGAAACUUUGAGAGGAGGAGGGAAAACAUGCAAAAUAGAGAUUUUCCAAAUCCUGCAACUGGACCUAACAUGAGUGCACCAGCUCCAGGUGGUAUGCCUCCCAACAACUUUAAUCCCAGCAUGCCUCCUCACAACCGCCAAGGCGAUUAUCCAGGAGGACCACCACCUCCGAACAAUUUUAACAGACCACCACCGCCACCACCGCACAACUACAGCGGACCACCACCACCACCACCACACAACUUCAGCGGACCACCACCACCACCACCACACAACUUCAGCGGACCACCACCACCACCACCGCACAACUUCAACGGACCACCACCACCACCACCGCACAACUUCAACGGACCACCACCACCACCGUACAACUUCAACGGGCCACCACCUCCUCCACCAAACAACUUCAACGGACCACCACCUCCUCCACCGAACAACUUCAACGGACCACCACCACGCAACUAUGCUUCAGCAUCACCAAAUCACGGAGGAGGAGGAGGAGGAGCACCCCACAACUAUGGGGGGCCACAGGAAAACAACUAUUGGGGAGCACAGCAGCCAAACAACUAUGGUGGACCUUCAAACUCUGGCCGGGGACCUGCAUAGAACAACUACUAUGAAGGGGUAAAAAAAGGCUAAUGGUGGUGGAUGGUCUAAUAUGUGCAUAAAAAUCAAGAAGAAUAGUCUAGGCGGUCAGGGUAGUCUAACGGUGGUGGCUGGUCACUGCAUUUUCGUUUUGGUGCUACAAACGAUGAGUUUAAUUUUGCUUUAUGAGUCGGCAUUUGUUUAAAAUCUGUUUAAGUCUUGUGUACAAUUUAAUAUAUUCAUGAGAUGGUGUAUCGUUUAUAAUGUUGUCUUUGUUCUGAAGUUGGCAAUGAUAUUGUCUCUUUUGGCCAUAUCUCUUUUAAGCUUGCAACAUACAUGUGUAUUUAAUGUAUGUGUAGUUAAAAUAAAGUCAGAGAUGUAAAAUUAUUUAAUAAUUUUAAAAUGGAUCAAAAUUAUAAGUAAAUUCAUACCAAGAGAAAGGAAGGAAAGACAAAAGAAAAAUAGAUCCUCCUUAUAUUUAUGAAAAUUUAUAUUAGGAAUGAAUUUAAUUUUACGUUUUAAAAAUAUAAUAAUAAAUAUUUAAUUAUUAUAUUAGCAAAAGCAAAUCUUUAAACCCUUAAACCCUUUCAAAACCCUUUUUCUUUUUUCAUUUUUUGUCUUUUUUGUUUCAACCUUCUCCCAUGGCGACUCAGCUCUUCUCUUUGUUUUCACGUUCCUUUCUCACUCCACCGGAGUCCCCCAUCUCCGUCUCUUCUCACUCCUCUUCCUCCCUUCUCCGCCGCCUCCCUCCCCUCGCUGCUAUACUCACCGCUGAUUUCCCGUCACUCUGCUGCACCGAGCGUGAGGAACUUCUCUACCCGUUCCACUUCUUCGUCUAUCAAAGAUCCCAAUCCUAACUGGUCUAAUCGACCACUCAUGGAGACCAUAUUGCUUGAUGGCUGUGAUUUUGAACACUGGCUCGUUGUCAUGGAGAACAACUCACGAGGGAUGAGAUUAUCGACAGCUAUAUAAAAACGCUUGCCAUUGUUGUCUGAAGGUAAAUUCUCAUUUUCGUAUAUUGUAUUGAAUCUCUCUCUCUCUCUUUCCUCCCAACGUUGGGCUAUCCUGAAUCUGAUGAUUGCAUUUAUUCGUGUCUCUUCUGUGUCUUUUUUUCUUCGUUGUGUUGUUCUUGGCUAUGUCUUUGUUUUGUAUUGAUGAUAUGAAGCUGUACCUUUUCCUCUUCAGAGCUGCCUAAGGUUCGUUGGGUCUUACCUGAUUCAUACUUGGACGUUAAGAAUAAAGAUUACGGAGGUUAUUCCUGACCCCAUUAAGUAUGCAAAUAAUCAUUUUAUCUCUUUCGGUGUCUAAUUUUACAGUCCUCACUCUUUAGUUUUGAAAAGAGGUCAGUCGUUCUGAAGAAGGCUUUAUUUCAAUUUAAAGCUACUAGAAGUUAAAAUUUUCAUAAUAUCAUAUGUCUUGUUCAUUAUACAUUUUUCUCAGAAAAGAAGUUUGAAAUACGUCAUUCAAAGAUAGUAAGUAGCUUUUCUCUUUACAAAAAUGUAGACUAUUGAGGGGAUAGAAUGUUAGCUACUUACUUGAAAAGUUGAAGCUCUUGUAUUGUAUGAUGGUUGAGGAUCCUGACUCAUUCAGGUCACAUUCCUAAGAUGAUAGAAAGUUUAAAAACUUAUCUAAGAUUGCAAUGCACUCUUGAGCAGACUGUCAAUGCACUCUUAAUUUGAAAGCCAGUAUCUUUUUGUUGUAGUGUCUCCCUUGUUUUGGUUCACUUAAGGCUACAACUAUUUUACCUUAUUUUGGUGUUGUACAGAACUGUUAUCUGACUUUCCGUGUAUUUUUUCCCUUUGGCAGGGGGGCCUUUUAUAAACGGACAAGCUGCUCCAUAUGACUCGAAGUACCACGAAGAAUGGAUUAGAAACAAUGCUAAAGCAAAUAGUAGGCGUGAUGUUAAUGGUAGGCGCAAUUUCGAUAGGUCAAGAAACUUUGAGAAGAGGGAAAACAUGCAGAAUGGAGAAUUUCCAAAUAAUGUUUCAGCGAGUCAACCUACUGGACCGAAAUUGAGUCCACCAGCUCCAAGUAGUACACCCCUCCCAACAACUUUAGUCCUAGCAUGCCUCCUCACAACCAUGCUGGAAUACCCCAAGGCAACUAUCCGGGAGGAUAUCCGAACAAUUUUAACAGACCACUGCCUCCGCCACCACCAUACAACUUCAACAGCCCACCACCACCUCCUC
RNAcentral lists this long non-coding RNA (2840 nucleotides) under Cucumis sativus (cucumber). RNAcentral's name for it is "long non-coding RNA (CSAT_LNC001432)". Lineage: Eukaryota; Viridiplantae; Streptophyta; Magnoliopsida; Cucurbitales; Cucurbitaceae. The record is from RNAcentral.